GAUGAACGCUGGCGGCGUGCCUAAUACAUGCAAGUCGAGCGAACGGACGAGAAGCUUGCUUCACUGAUGUUAGCGGCGGACGGGUGAGUAACACGUGGAUAACCUACCUAUAAGACUGGGAUAACUUCGGGAAACCGGAGCUAAUACCGGAUGAUAUUUUGAACCGCAUGGUUCAAAAGUGAAAGACGGUCUUGCUGUCACUUAUAGAUGGAUCCGCGCUGCAUUAGCUAGUUGGUAAGGUAACGGCUUACCAAGGCAACGAUGCAUAGCCGACCUGAGAGGGUGAUCGGCCACACUGGAACUGAGACACGGUCCAGACUCCUACGGGAGGCAGCAGUAGGGAAUCUUCCGCAAUGGGCGAAAGCCUGACGGAGCAACGCCGCGUGAGUGAUGAAGGUCUUCGGAUCGUAAAACUCUGUUAUUAGGGAAGAACAUAUGUGUAAGUAACUGUGCACAUCUUGACGGUACCUAAUCGGAAAGCCACGGCUAACUACGUG
This 497-nucleotide ribosomal RNA is filed under the name uncultured bacterium. Its description in RNAcentral is "partial 16S ribosomal RNA". It matches the Rfam family "Bacterial small subunit ribosomal RNA", at positions 28 to 507 of the family's 1533-position model. The record is from RNAcentral.